This 468-nucleotide ribosomal RNA is filed under the name uncultured bacterium. RNAcentral's name for it is "partial 16S ribosomal RNA". It matches the Rfam family "Bacterial small subunit ribosomal RNA", at positions 28 to 507 of the family's 1533-position model. The record is from RNAcentral.
GACGAACGCUGGCGGCGUGCUUAACACAUGCAAGUCGAACGGAAAGGCCCUGCUUUUGUGGGGUGCUCGAGUGGCGAACGGGUGAGUAACACGUGAGUAACCUGCCCUUGACUUUGGGAUAACUUCAGGGAACUGGGGCUAAUACCGGAUAGGAGCUCCUGCUGCAUGGUGGGGGUUGGAAAGUUUCGGCGGUUGGGGAUGGACUCGCGGCUUAUCAGCUUGUUGGUGGGGUAGUGGCUUACCAAGGCUUUGACGGGUAGCCGGCCUGAGAGGGUGACCGGCCACAUUGGGACUGAGAGACGGCCCAGACUCCUACGGGAGGCAGCAGUGGGGAAUAUUGCACAAUGGGCGGAAGCCUGAUGCAGCAACGCCGGGUGCGGGAUGACGGCCUUCGGGUUGUAAACCGCUUUCGCCUGUGACGAAGCGUGAGUGACGGUAAUGGGUAAAGAAGCACCGGCUAACUACGUG